Molecule: ribosomal RNA, 253 nt
Filed under: uncultured bacterium
Lineage: Bacteria
Description: partial 16S ribosomal RNA
Rfam family: Bacterial small subunit ribosomal RNA
Source: RNAcentral
UACGUAGGGUGCAAGCGUUAUCCGGAAUUAUUGGGCGUAAAGAGCUCGUAGGCGGUUUGUCGCGUCUGCUGUGAAAACUCAGGGCUUAACCCUGAGCUUGCAGUGGGUACGGGCAGACUAGAGUGCGGUAGGGGAGACUGGAAUUCCUUGUGUAGCGGUGAAAUGCGCAGAUAUCAGGAGGAACACCAGUAGCGAAGGCGGCACUCUGGGCCGGUACUGACGCUGAGGAGCGAAAGCGUGGGGAGCGAACAGG